GGGUUGUGAGGUUAAGCGACUAAGCGUACACGGUGGAUGCCCUGGCAGUCAGAGGCGAUGAAGGACGUGCUAAUCUGCGAUAAGCGUCGGUAAGGUGAUAUGAACCGUUAUAACCGGCGAUUUCCGAAUGGGGAAACCCAGUGUGAUUCGUCACACUAUCAUUAACUGAAUCCAUAGGUUAAUGAGGCGAACCGGGGGAACUGAAACAUCUAAGUACCCCGAGGAAAAGAAAUCAACCGAGAUUCCCCCAGUAGCGGCGAGCGAACGGGGAGCAGCCCAGAGCCUGAAUCAGUGUGUGUGUUAGUGGAAGCGUCUGGAAAGGCGCGCGAUACAGGGUGACAGCCCCGUACACAAAAAUGCACAUACUGUGAGCUCGAUGAGUAGGGCGGGACACGUGGUAUCCUGUCUGAAUAUGGGGGGACCAUCCUCCAAGGCUAAAUACUCCUGACUGACCGAUAGUGAACCAGUACCGUGAGGGAAAGGCGAAAAGAACCCCGGCGAGGGGAGUGAAAAAGAACCUGAAACCGUGUACGUACAAGCAGUGGGAGCACGCUUAGGCGUGUGACUGCGUACCUUUUGUAUAAUGGGUCAGCGACUUAUAUUCUGUAGCAAGGUUAACCGAAUAGGGGAGCCGAAGGGAAACCGAGUCUUAACUGGGCGUUAAGUUGCAGGGUAUAGACCCGAAACCCGGUGAUCUAGCCAUGGGCAGGUUGAAGGUUGGGUAACACUAACUGGAGGACCGAACCGACUAAUGUUGAAAAAUUAGCGGAUGACUUGUGGCUGGGGGUGAAAGGCCAAUCAAACCGGGAGAUAGCUGGUUCUCCCCGAAAGCUAUUUAGGUAGCGCCUCGUGAAUUCAUCUCCGGGGGUAGAGCACUGUUUCGGCAAGGGGGUCAUCCCGACUUACCAACCCGAUGCAAACUGCGAAUACCGGAGAAUGUUAUCACGGGAGACACACGGCGGGUGCUAACGUCCGUCGUGAAGAGGGAAACAACCCAGACCGCCAGCUAAGGUCCCAAAGUCAUGGUUAAGUGGGAAACGAUGUGGGAAGGCCCAGACAGCCAGGAUGUUGGCUUAGAAGCAGCCAUCAUUUAAAGAAAGCGUAAUAGCUCACUGGUCGAGUCGGCCUGCGCGGAAGAUGUAACGGGGCUAAACCAUGCACCGAAGCUGCGGCAGCGACGCUUAUGCGUUGUUGGGUAGGGGAGCGUUCUGUAAGCCUGUGAAGGUGUACUGUGAGGUAUGCUGGAGGUAUCAGAAGUGCGAAUGCUGACAUAAGUAACGAUAAAGCGGGUGAAAAGCCCGCUCGCCGGAAGACCAAGGGUUCCUGUCCAACGUUAAUCGGGGCAGGGUGAGUCGACCCCUAAGGCGAGGCCGAAAGGCGUAGUCGAUGGGAAACAGGUUAAUAUUCCUGUACUUGGUGUUACUGCGAAGGGGGGACGGAGAAGGCUAUGUUGGCCGGGCGACGGUUGUCCCGGUUUAAGCGUGUAGGCUGGUUUUCCAGGCAAAUCCGGAAAAUCAAGGCUGAGGCGUGAUGACGAGGCACUACGGUGCUGAAGCAACAAAUGCCCUGCUUCCAGGAAAAGCCUCUAAGCAUCAGGUAACAUCAAAUCGUACCCCAAACCGACACAGGUGGUCAGGUAGAGAAUACCAAGGCGCUUGAGAGAACUCGGGUGAAGGAACUAGGCAAAAUGGUGCCGUAACUUCGGGAGAAGGCACGCUGAUAUGUAGGUGAAGUCCCUCGCGGAUGGAGCUGAAAUCAGUCGAAGAUACCAGCUGGCUGCAACUGUUUAUUAAAAACACAGCACUGUGCAAACACGAAAGUGGACGUAUACGGUGUGACGCCUGCCCGGUGCCGGAAGGUUAAUUGAUGGGGUUAGCGCAAGCGAAGCUCUUGAUCGAAGCCCCGGUAAACGGCGGCCGUAACUAUAACGGUCCUAAGGUAGCGAAAUUCCUUGUCGGGUAAGUUCCGACCUGCACGAAUGGCGUAAUGAUGGCCAGGCUGUCUCCACCCGAGACUCAGUGAAAUUGAACUCGCUGUGAAGAUGCAGUGUACCCGCGGCAAGACGGAAAGACCCCGUGAACCUUUACUAUAGCUUGACACUGAACAUUGAGCCUUGAUGUGUAGGAUAGGUGGGAGGCUUUGAAGUGUGGACGCCAGUCUGCAUGGAGCCGACCUUGAAAUACCACCCUUUAAUGUUUGAUGUUCUAACGUGGACCCGUAAUCCGGGUUGCGGACAGUGUCUGGUGGGUAGUUUGACUGGGGCGGUCUCCUCCUAAAGAGUAACGGAGGAGCACGAAGGUUGGCUAAUCCUGGUCGGACAUCAGGAGGUUAGUGCAAUGGCAUAAGCCAGCUUGACUGCGAGCGUGACGGCGCGAGCAGGUGCGAAAGCAGGUCAUAGUGAUCCGGUGGUUCUGAAUGGAAGGGCCAUCGCUCAACGGAUAAAAGGUACUCCGGGGAUAACAGGCUGAUACCGCCCAAGAGUUCAUAUCGACGGCGGUGUUUGGCACCUCGAUGUCGGCUCAUCACAUCCUGGGGCUGAAGUAGGUCCCAAGGGUAUGGCUGUUCGCCAUUUAAAGUGGUACGCGAGCUGGGUUUAGAACGUCGUGAGACAGUUCGGUCCCUAUCUGCCGUGGGCGCUGGAGAACUGAGGGGGGCUGCUCCUAGUACGAGAGGACCGGAGUGGACGCAUCACUGGUGUUCGGGUUGUCAUGCCAAUGGCACUGCCCGGUAGCUAAAUGCGGAAGAGAUAAGUGCUGAAAGCAUCUAAGCACGAAACUUGCCCCGAGAUGAGUUCUCCCUGACUCCUUGAGAGUCCUGAAGGAACGUUGAAGACGACGACGUUGAUAGGCCGGGUGUGUAAGCGCAGCGAUGCGUUGAGCUAACCGGUACUAAUGAACCGUGAGGCUUAACCUUACAACGCCGAAGCUGUU
Molecule: ribosomal RNA, 2930 nt
Filed under: Escherichia coli
Lineage: Bacteria; Pseudomonadati; Pseudomonadota; Gammaproteobacteria; Enterobacterales; Enterobacteriaceae
Description: bacterial LSU rRNA
Rfam family: Bacterial large subunit ribosomal RNA
Source: RNAcentral